RNAcentral lists this ribosomal RNA (118 nucleotides) under Breznakibacter sp. Its description in RNAcentral is "partial 16S ribosomal RNA". It matches the Rfam family "Bacterial small subunit ribosomal RNA", at positions 1 to 123 of the family's 1533-position model. The record is from RNAcentral. Lineage: Bacteria; Pseudomonadati; Bacteroidota; Bacteroidia; Marinilabiliales; Marinilabiliaceae.
ACAAUGAAGAGUUUGAUCCUGGCUCAGGAUGAACGCUAGCGACAGGCCUAACACAUGCAAGUCGAGGGGUAUAGUAGCAAUACUAGAGACCGGCGCACGGGUGCGUAACGCGUAUGUA